CGUUUUGUUUGUCUCGUCACGUCAUGAAUAGAAACAAUUUUUCAAUAAGCGAGUGAUAAAAAAUCUAUUAUAGAAAUUUCACGGACUUUGUGAUAUAUAUAUAAUUACCGAAGAUAUGUUCAGUAAGCGAAAAUGAGUUCCUUCGCUAAUACCAAGUGAAAGUGGUGCUGAAUUAUCUUUAAAUAUGGAACUGUCCGGUUCGGGGAAAUCCCCAAACUCCUCGUUAUCUUUUAGAUACAACGCUAACAAUGAGGAACUGGAAGAGUUGUACCACAUGUGUGAUGAUGAUCCUCCUACACCCCAAAAUGACCCUCCCGUUAGUCAGAACGAGACAGCGAGUCCGAAAAAAGCGGAUAAAAGCUCGUCUAUAUUAGAUAAAUAUUUUAAAUCAAUGAGACCAGAAAAACCGUCAGAAAAAGAAAAUGAGGAUCCAAAAUCUGAUCCCAAACCUGCAGAGGAAACUAAACCGGCAGCUCCUCCCAAAGAAGUUACAUCUUCUCCUAUGAAAGAGUAUUUAAACCGUUUAGGGAAGAGGGCUACUACUUCUGAGGGGUCUAUUGAUGCUAAGGAAAGCUCUAAUGAAACUUGGAAGAUCUUCCAUGACUUUAAGUUCAAGAUAGCACAAGCUGUUGAGGACAUCAAAACUCGUUCGGUGGAAGAAACAAAGGAAAAAUCAGUGCCAAGAGAGAACUCAACAUCAGAUUCAGAAGAAAGCUCUGCCAUCAAAGACUCUGAUCAACAAAGUGUUGGAGAUACUGACAAUCAGGUAUCAUCUCUUCACAGUAGUAUUCAGAAUCUGUCUGAAAUCACGCAACCGGUCACGGCCAAGCCUACCGACCGUGAGUCUAGUCUUCCUUUAGAAAAGAAUAAUUCCGAAUCCAGUGAUGAUACACAUAAGAAUUUAGCCAGUGAAUCAGAAAACGGGACAGGAGAUUUGCUAGACGACAGCAGUAUGUUAGAAGUCGAGUCUGGUGUCGAAGCGUUGGAGGACACCAAUAUUGAUGCUCUCGGAGACGCCAACCUGUACAAAGACUCAGGGGACAAACCCCCUCCCGUCCUGAACAUCCUGCCCUGCACCGUGCAGAGGCCACGCACACCCACACACAUAGGAUCCCCACCCAGCAAACCCAAUAUAACAACAGAAACUCCUAGGAACUACUUCUUUAAUUUCACAAUGUACAUCCUCACUUUUUUACUAAUUGUCAACUACUUCCUAUUCCCCAACUCCCACGCGUGGAAUGGAUUCCUACUGGGUGUAUGGAUGUUUACAUUUGCAAGCAACUUGAAGCAAUGGUUUUUAGCCAAUUAUUUUAGUACGGACAAGGAACCUAGAACCAGCUUCUUUCAGUUUAGGCGCCGCAGUGUUGUACCGUACACGUACAAUAUUCCUAAUGUUAAGGAGCAUAGGCCAAUUAAGAAACAUGAGGGGUGGAUAAACCAUUAUAGGUUUCACGAAUAUGAUGCUUACACGUAUCACAUCAACAAAACAACAACCGCAUUUAUUAAAUUAGAAGGUUGCAAUUUAAGGAUAUCGUACACUAAAACAAAAAUAGCUAAAAGAGCGCUAUGGGACGAGAAAAUAGACAAAGUUGUUUUCUACCAGCAUAGAUUGUAUAAUUUAACCGGCGCCAAAGUAUUCCUGCUGCCGAAUGGACUUGUCAGUAAAAGACAAUGGAGCAAAAAGUACCCUAUAUGUAUCGCACUGAAUGAAAAUGAGACAAUACAAGUACUUGAGAAAGAAAAUUUACCCGAGAAAAAACCUGGCGAUGUGUCAGAGAGUAAAAAGAAAGAACAAGAAUCAGAGACCACCGAAACUACCACUAGCCCGGAAAAGAAAAAGAGAUUUGUAUGGAGAAAGAAAGAAAAAAGCCUUUCACAAGAAGUAGAUACGGCCGGGAGAGAAGGACUGCGUCAUCGGAUCGUCAGAAAGAUGCACAGAGAUAAAAAACCGGAUAGCGUGUCCACUGCCACAGAGCCCGACAGCCAAACAGAGAAGACUUUACAAGAAGAACUGAACGAGGAUGAGGUGACCAGUGCGCCCGCCAACGGCAAGGACGAGGCUCUGGACGAGGACCUUGAUGAUGAGAUUACCAGGCUCAAGGAGUUUCUGGACGAAACUGAGCCGGAGACUGUAGAGGGCGCUGCAGAAGGCGAGUGGAGUUUGCACGUGAAACACUCCAAGGACAAGCACUCACGACUUUUCCUGUUCGCGCGGACGGGCCGGGACAAACUUGAGUGGUUCCGUCGGAUACACCAAGCUAUAUCGGAGGCAACUCCGUCGGUCGAAUCUUCAGUGGCCGAAGACAAGAGUUCGAGCGAUCUCGCGACAGACACCAAGGAAGGCAUCGAGAUGGCCGUCUACAAAGUGUCUGAUAAGGACACUGUCUCCUUCCCGAAGCCCAAUACUAAAGCUAAUCCGGUACCGUUGGAAGGCCUGACAGUCGUCUCGGAUUGGAGCUCGUAUGAGAAAACCUUCUGGCCUUAUCUAAUAAAAAUAAUGCAAACGCACGAAGAAAACAUAAAGCAAACGGUCGACGCGGGAGUCACCUGCGACCUCGAUCCCACGCCGAUAGAGACUAAGGGCAAAGCCAAGAAGAAACGGAAAAACGAUCCUAAAUCAGAUACACCCUCGUGCGACUGCCGGCAGCUCCCCGCCGAAGUGUCGUGGGUGAACACGGUGUUAGCCAGAGUCAUGUAUGACGUCAUGAGAGACCCACACAUCAUGAUGCGCGUGCAGAAUAGGAUACAGAGGAAACUCAACACGCUCAAGUUACCUUCAUUCAUGUCUCCACUAGUGGUGACGGAGCUGUCUCUAGCAGGCGCGUGCCCGCUAGUGGAGCGUGUCGGCGGCGCCACGUGGGACGAGCGCGGCGUGUGGCUCGACGCCGACCUGCGCUACGACGGCGGCGCCGCCAUCACCAUACUCACCAACAUCAACCUCAUGAAGCUCAAGGAGAAGAAUCUAACUUUGGAGGAAAAGUUAUUGCUGACAGAAGAGCACAUAGUGGAGAGCGAUCUCAUGUUUUCGGGAAGCAGCAUGUUUUCCGAAAAGCAGCUACGGAAACGCAAGCCCGCCAUAUUCGACAGCGACGUGGAAGACUCGGCGGAGUCCUCCAGCGAUGACGAGAGCCCGCCCGUGCAGCCUGUGGACAGCAACGAGGCGAUACCAACGCAAGAUAUAGCAUCUGCGGCGGCGCCAGAGAGUGGUUCAUCCAAAAAGAAGUUCCUGAGAAUGGUCGAUAAGAUAUCCACUAAUAAAUACUUCCAGCAGGUAACGGACUUCAAAUACGUGAAGCGAGCAAUGGAGGGUCUCUCCAAUACGGAUAUUAAGUUACAAGUAGAAAUCCAAGGACUAGAGGGACGGUUAGCUUUGAACUUGCCACCGCCGCCUCACGACAGAUUAUGGCUAGGUUUCCGAACGAACCCGCAGCUGAUCCUAAAAGCGCGGCCAGCCGUCGGCGCGCGCACGCUCCGCUUCGCGCACAUCUCCAACUGGAUCGAGCACAAACUCAGUAAAGAGUUCGAGAAGGUUCUAGUACUGCCCAAUAUGGAGGACAUUGCUGUGGAUGUCAUGACCCCCACACCCGUGUUUGCGGAGUCUCUUUAGACGGUGGUACUUGAAAAUCUUUGUCUCAUUAUGUCGACGAAGCCCCGCCGCGCGGGGGUCCUUUCUAUAUGUUGGUCUUCAGGCACCUGUAGCAGUAUAACAAGCCAAUUAAUUUAAUGUAACUACCGCCAAAACACACGGACUUCACAAUUCGGCGGGUUUUGAAACCGGCCGCCAACGCGUAUAAACGUUCCAGUGUUGUGUGUAAUAACUAAUAAAAUAAAAGACAAUGGUUCUCAAUAUGACAAUUCCACCGUGUUUGAGUCGAUAUAAUGUAUAACGUAAUAUUUCUUAGAGGAAAUGGUAGUAGUGCUUAUAAAGCGAAUAUUAUGUGCAAUAUAAAGAACGUUGUAAUCUUCAAUGUGACGGAUUCAUCGUAUUUUUUAGUCAAUAUACUGCUGGCCAACAUGGAUGAUAUGGUAUUUGAUACUCUAGUUAUGAAUCCACAUAAAAUUGGUCUCGUGUAUGACCUGGUGGAUAUACUAGAUAUUACGCGUAAUUGUUGAUGUCCCCGACGAGACGUUUGCAAACGUCAGCCAAUGGCAAAGGACACUGCUAUCAAUAUAGAUGGACAAACGUUGUCGGCAUGAACAUUGAAAACACCGGUUUUUGAGAGUGAGCUCAUCUCACAGAACAAACCUAAGUGUGAAUAAAUAAUGUAAGUAGUUAGACAAAACUCACAAUUAUCUCUUACAAUAACAAUAAGAUGUAUGAUCAUCGGCGACAUUAAGGCACUGGUCCCACCGCGAGCUAGUAAGAUAUGAGCUAUCGGCUAUAAAAACGAAAAAAAGAUAAUCACUCCC
Molecule: unclassified non-coding RNA, 4410 nt
Filed under: Leguminivora glycinivorella
Lineage: Eukaryota; Metazoa; Arthropoda; Insecta; Lepidoptera; Tortricidae
Description: testis-expressed protein 2, transcript variant X3
Source: RNAcentral